Molecule: transfer RNA, 71 nt
Filed under: Marmota monax (woodchuck)
Lineage: Eukaryota; Metazoa; Chordata; Mammalia; Rodentia; Sciuridae
Description: tRNA.Ala
Rfam family: tRNA
About the family: Transfer RNA (tRNA) molecules are approximately 80 nucleotides in length. Their secondary structure includes four short double-helical elements and three loops (D, anti-codon, and T loops). Further hydrogen bonds mediate the characteristic L-shaped molecular structure. tRNAs have two regions of fundamental functional importance: the anti-codon, which is responsible for specific mRNA codon recognition, and the 3' end, to which the tRNAs corresponding amino acid is attached (by aminoacyl-tRNA synthetases). tRNAs cope with the degeneracy of the genetic code in two manners: having more than one tRNA (with a specific anti-codon) for a particular amino acid; and 'wobble' base-pairing, i.e. permitting non-standard base-pairing at the 3rd anti-codon position.
Source: RNAcentral
GAGGUUGUGGCUCAGAGGAACAGCACUCGCCUGGCAUGCGUGAGGCACUGGGUUCGAUCCUCAGCACCACA